GCGCACCAGUCGAGAAUACUCCACAAUGCGCGAAAGCGCGAUGGGCUAUCCCGAGUGCCGUCCGCUGAGGAUGGCUUUUCUCCAGUGUAAGGAGCUGGAGGAAUAAGGAGAGGGCAAGUCUGGUGUCAGCCGCCGCGGUAAUACCAGCUCUCCGAGUGGUAGGGACGUUUAUUGGGCUUAAAGCGUCCGUAGCCGGCUCAACAAGUCCUCCGUUAAAUCCAGCGAUUCAAUCGUUGGACUGCGGGGGAUACUGUUGGGCUAGGGGACGGGAGAGGCCAACGGUAUUCCCGGAGUAGGGGUGAAAUCCUAUAAUUCCGGGAGGACCACCAGUGGCGAAGGCUGUCGGCUAGAACGAGCUCGACGGUGAGGGACGAAAGCUGGGGGAGCGAACGGAUUAGAUACCCCCGUAGU
Molecule: ribosomal RNA, 411 nt
Filed under: uncultured microorganism
Description: bacterial SSU rRNA
Rfam family: Archaeal small subunit ribosomal RNA
Source: RNAcentral